Non-coding RNA from Pelobates cultripes (western spadefoot toad), 241 nucleotides. The record is from the annotation of a GenBank genome assembly. NCBI's taxonomy places the organism in Eukaryota, Metazoa, Chordata, Amphibia, Anura, Pelobatidae.
GAGGAAACUACCGAAUGAGGUUAAAUAUACUUGGUUUCCUUACAAGACUCUUCAAAGAAGAAGCUUCACUUAAAUCAAAUCUGUAACAGGAACAAAGCCAGUUUCUGCUCCUACCGUGGUGACCACAGGUAACGGGGAAUCAGGGUUGGAUUACAGAGAGGGAAUCUGAGAAAUGGCUACCACAUGCAAGGAAGGCAGCAGGCACGCAAAUGACCCACUCCCGAUGCGGGAAGGUAGCGAC